CCCUUAGAUGUUCUGGGCUGCACGCGCGCUACACUGAAGCGUUCAACGAGUAUUCACCUUGCCCGGGAGGGUUGGGUAAUCUUUUUAAAACGCUUCGUGAUGGGGAUAGAUUAUUGCAAUUAUUAAUCUUCAACGAGGAAUGCCUAGUAGGCGCAAGUCAUCAGCUUGCGUCGAUUACGUCCCUGCCCUUUGUACACACCGCCCGUCGCUCCUACCGAUUGAAUGAUCCGAUGAAUACCAUGGAUUGAGAGUACGAAUAGGUUCGCUUAUUUCUGCUGCUCGAGAAGUGGAGUAAAUCUUAUCAUUUAGAGGAAGGAGAAGUCGUAACA
RNAcentral lists this ribosomal RNA (329 nucleotides) under uncultured eukaryote. RNAcentral describes it as "partial 18S ribosomal RNA". It matches the Rfam family "Eukaryotic small subunit ribosomal RNA", at positions 1470 to 1796 of the family's 1831-position model. The record is from RNAcentral.